GCCUGGCACGGUGGUGCUUGCCUGUAGUCCCAGCUACUCCAGAGGCUGAGGUGGGAGGAUUGCUUGAGCCCGAUUGGGUGUCUGUACUAAGUUUGGCAUCAAUAUGGUGACCUCCUGAGAGCAGGACACCACCAGGUUGCCUAAGGAGGGGUGAACCAGCCCAGGUCAGAAACGGAGCAGGUCAAAACUCCUGCGCUGAUCAGUAGUGGGAUCGCGCCUGUGAAUAGCCACUGCAUUUCAGCCUGGGCAACAUAGUGAGACCCCGUCUCUU
Unclassified non-coding RNA from Callithrix jacchus (white-tufted-ear marmoset), 271 nucleotides. It matches the Rfam family "Metazoan signal recognition particle RNA". Rfam says of the family: The signal recognition particle (SRP) is a universally conserved ribonucleoprotein. The record is from Ensembl. Lineage: Eukaryota; Metazoa; Chordata; Mammalia; Primates; Cebidae.